AAUUAGGUCAUAGCAUAUUACCGUGUUGAGAAACCCUAAUUAUUUAACUCAGUUAUGAGAUAUGACUGAGUAGUGACUGUGUAUAUGAAGGUUACUGUGUAUAAGAUGUCGGUAAUUAGAAGAAAACCCUAAUUACUGUUGUUUGUCGAUAAUUAGGACAAACCCUAAUUAUUACAACCCUAAUCGGUUGAAGUUAGAGAUCGUAAUGACUGUGUUAAAACAUACACAGACAAUUAGAGAACCCUAAUGGUCAAUUAGAAACCUUAAUUGAUGGCGUUACGAAACCC
RNAcentral lists this long non-coding RNA (287 nucleotides) under Panax ginseng (ginseng). RNAcentral's name for it is "long non-coding RNA (PGIN_LNC017819)". Lineage: Eukaryota; Viridiplantae; Streptophyta; Magnoliopsida; Apiales; Araliaceae. The record is from RNAcentral.